UACGUAGGGGGCUAGCGUUGUCCGGAUUUAUUGGGCGUAAAGAGCGUGUAGGCGGCCAAGUAGGUCUGGUGUGAAAACUCGAGGCUUAACCUCGAGAUGUCAUCGGAAACCAUCUGGCUAGAGUCCGGAAGAGGAGAGUGGAAUUCCUAGUGUAGAGGUGAAAUUCGUAGAUAUUAGGAAGAACACCAGUGGCGAAGGCGGCUCACUGGCUCGGUACUGACGCUGAGGCGCGAAAGCGUGGGGAGCAAACAGG
This 253-nucleotide ribosomal RNA is filed under the name uncultured bacterium. Its description in RNAcentral is "partial 16S ribosomal RNA". It matches the Rfam family "Bacterial small subunit ribosomal RNA", at positions 524 to 776 of the family's 1533-position model. The record is from RNAcentral.